UGGGGAAUAUUGCACAAUGGGCGCAAGCCUGAUGCAGCCAUGCCGCGUGUGUGAAGAAGGCCUUCGGGUUGUAAAGCACUUUCAGCGGGGAGGAAGGCGAUAAGGUUAAUAACCUUGUCGAUUGACGUUACCGACAGAAGAAGCACCGGCUAACUCCGUGCCAGCAGCCGCGGUAAUACGGAGGGUGCAAGCGUUAAUCGGAAUUACUGGGCGUAAAGCGCACGCAGGCGGUUGAUUGAGUCAGAUGUGAAAUCCCCGGGCUUAACCCGGGAAUUGCAUCUGAUACUGGUCAGCUAGAGUCGUGUAGAGGGGGGUAGAAUUCCAUGUGUAGCGGUGAAAUGCGUAGAGAUGUGGAGGAAUACCGGUGGCGAAGGCGGCCCCCUGGACAAAGACUGACGCUCAGGUGCGAAAGCGUGGGGAGCAAACAGG
This 429-nucleotide ribosomal RNA is filed under the name Chloroflexota bacterium. RNAcentral describes it as "Chloroflexi bacterium partial 16S ribosomal RNA". It matches the Rfam family "Bacterial small subunit ribosomal RNA", at positions 355 to 776 of the family's 1533-position model. The record is from RNAcentral. Lineage: Bacteria; Bacillati; Chloroflexota.